AGCACAGUGUAGCAAUACAUGGGGUGGCGACCGGCAAACGGGUGCGGAACACGUACGCAACCUUCCUUUAACUGGAGAAUAGCCCGGGGAAACCCGGAUUAAUACUCCGUAACAUUAUGAAGUGGCAUCACUUUAUAAUUAUAGCUCCGGCGGUUGAAGAUGGGCGUGCGUCUGAUUAGGUAGUUGGCGGGGUAACGGCCCACCAAGCCUACGAUCAGUAACUGGUGUGAGAGCACGACCAGUCACACGGGCACUGAGACACGGGCCCGACUCCUACGGGAGGCAGCAGUAAAGAAUAUUGGUCAAUGGACGCAAGUCUGAACCAGCCAUGCCGCGUGGAGGAUGAAGGUCCUCUGGAUUGUAAACUUCUUUUAUUUGGGAAGAAACCCCCGAUUUCUAUUGGGGUUGACGGUACCAGAUGAAUAAGCACCGGCUAACUCCGUGCCAGCAGCCGCGGUAAUACGGAGGGUGCAAGCGUUAUCCGGAUUCACUGGGUUUAAAGGGUGCGUAGGCGGGUUGGUAAGUCCGUGGUGAAAUCUCCAAGCUUAACUUGGAAACUGCCGUGGAUACUAUCAAUCUUGAAUAUAGUGGAGGUGAGCGGAAUAUGUCAUGUAGCGGUGAAAUGCUUAGAUAUGACAUAGAACACCCAUUGCGAAGGCAGCUCGCUACACUAUUAUUGACGCUGAGGCACGAAAGCGUGGGGAUCAAACAGGA
Molecule: ribosomal RNA, 714 nt
Filed under: uncultured Bacteroidota bacterium
Lineage: Bacteria; Pseudomonadati; Bacteroidota
Description: bacterial SSU rRNA
Rfam family: Bacterial small subunit ribosomal RNA
Source: RNAcentral